GCCUGAGUGGCUCAGUAGGUCAAGCGCCUGACUUUGGCUCAGGUCAUGAUCUCAAGGUUUGUGAGUUCGAGCCCCGCUUCAGGCU
Molecule: transfer RNA, 85 nt
Filed under: Felis catus (domestic cat)
Lineage: Eukaryota; Metazoa; Chordata; Mammalia; Carnivora; Felidae
Also listed under: 2 other names
Rfam family: tRNA
About the family: Transfer RNA (tRNA) molecules are approximately 80 nucleotides in length. Their secondary structure includes four short double-helical elements and three loops (D, anti-codon, and T loops).
Source: Rfam by way of RNAcentral